AUUUGAUGGAUUUGUUGACUCAAUUUGACUUACUUGUCAGGCAUGAUCCUGUCUGUUUAUGUGCAUAUUUCCCUAUUUUUUAACCCGACAUUAUAUUUUUUACAUGUUUCUUCAAUAGAUUUCUCCUUCUCGUGGAAAUGGAAAAGCCUCUAGAAAUUUUCUAUAUUUGGAGAAGGAUGCUUAAAUUCA
Molecule: long non-coding RNA, 189 nt
Organism: Telopea speciosissima
Lineage: Eukaryota; Viridiplantae; Streptophyta; Magnoliopsida; Proteales; Proteaceae
Exons: 3
Source: RefSeq, a predicted model, not a curated record